AUCCUGGCUCAGGAUGAACGCUAGCUACAGGCUUAACACAUGCAAGUCGAGGGGAAACGAUAUUGGAAGCUUGCUUCUGAUAGGCGUCGACCGGCGCACGGGUGAGUAACGCGUAUCCAACCUGCCCAUCACUUGGGGAUAACCUUGCGAAAGUAAGACUAAUACCCAAUGACGUCUCUAGAAGACAUCUGAAAGAGAUUAAAGAUUUAUCGGUGAUGGAUGGGGAUGCGUCUGAUUAGCUUGUUGGCGGGGUAACGGCCCACCAAGGCGACGAUCAGUAGGGGUUCUGAGAGGAAGGUCCCCCACAUUGGAACUGAGACACGGUCCAAACUCCUACGGGAGGCAGCAGUGAGGAAUAUUGGUCAAUGGACGAGAGUCUGAACCAGCCAAGUAGCGUGAAGGAUGAAGGUCCUACGGAUUGUAAACUUCUUUUAUAAGGGAAUAAACCCUCCCACGUGUGGGAGCUUGUAUGUACCUUAUGAAUAAGCAUCGGCUAACUCCGUG
This 504-nucleotide ribosomal RNA is filed under the name uncultured bacterium. RNAcentral's name for it is "bacterial SSU rRNA". It matches the Rfam family "Bacterial small subunit ribosomal RNA", at positions 16 to 507 of the family's 1533-position model. The record is from RNAcentral.